Molecule: ribosomal RNA, 497 nt
Filed under: uncultured bacterium
Lineage: Bacteria
Description: partial 16S ribosomal RNA
Rfam family: Bacterial small subunit ribosomal RNA
Source: RNAcentral
GAUGAACGCUGGCGGCGUACCUAAUACAUGCAAGUCGAGCGAACGGACGAGAAGCUUGCUUCUCUGAUGUUAGCGGCGGACGGGUGAGUAACACGUGGAUAACCUACCUAUAAGACUGGGAUAACUUCGGGAAACCGUCGCUAAUACCGGAUAAUAUUUUGAACCGCAUGGUUCAAAAGUGAAAGACGGUCUUGCUGUCACUUAUAGAUGGAUCCGCGCUGCAUUAGCUAGUUGGUAAGGUAACGGCUUACCAAGGCAACGAUGCAUAGCCGACCUGAGAGGGGGAUCGGCCACACUGGAACUGAGACACGGUCCAGACGCCUACGGGAGGCAGCAGUAGGGAAUCUUCCGCAAUGGGCGAAAGCCUGACGGAGCAACGCCGCGUGAGUGAUGAAGGUCUUCGGAUCGUAAAACUCUGUUAUUAGGGAAGAACAUAUGUGUAAGUAACUGUGCACAUCUUGACGGUACCUAAUCAGAAAGCCACGGCUAACUACGUG